UUCCUGCCUACCUGAGGCCUUCUGAAGAAUACAUGGGGAAAUUGUAUUUGGUGUUAGAUUGAUAGCUUUUAUGACCGGAGAAGAAUCAGAGUAAGCUUCCCCUUGCUGCUAGUCCCUGUACUAAAAGCUUUGCCAGGUGCUUGAAAGGCAGUACAGUUCCAGCAUAGUACAUACUGUGACCACAAGCUUGCAUACUUCUGGACUCAUC
Molecule: long non-coding RNA, 208 nt
Organism: Lagopus muta (rock ptarmigan)
Lineage: Eukaryota; Metazoa; Chordata; Aves; Galliformes; Phasianidae
Exons: 3
Source: RefSeq, a predicted model, not a curated record